RNAcentral lists this ribosomal RNA (451 nucleotides) under uncultured bacterium. Its description in RNAcentral is "partial 16S ribosomal RNA". It matches the Rfam family "Bacterial small subunit ribosomal RNA", at positions 28 to 507 of the family's 1533-position model. The record is from RNAcentral.
GGCUAACGCUGGCGGCGCGCCUAACACAUGCAAGUCGAACGAACCCUUCGGGGUUAGUGGCCGACGGGUGAGUAACGCGUGGAUAAUGUGCCUCUUUGCUGGGGAUACCGUUCCGAAAGGAACGUUAAUACCGAAUGUGCUUGUUUGGCGGCAUCGUCGAGCAAGUAAACUGUUAGGGUGAAGAGAGCAGUCCGCGUUCUAUCAGCUAGUUGGUGAGGUAACGGCUCACCAAGGCUACGACGGAUAACUGGUCUGAGAGGAUGAUCAGUCACACUGGAACUGAGACACGGUCCAGACUCCUACGGGAGGCAGCAGUGAGGAAUCUUGCACAAUGGGCGAAAGCCUGAUGCAGCGACGCCGCGUGAGGGAUGAAGGCCUUCGGGUUGUAAACCUCUGUCAGUAGGGAAGAAGAAUGACGGUACCUACUGAGGAAGCUGCGGCUAACUACGUG